Molecule: ribosomal RNA, 395 nt
Filed under: uncultured bacterium
Lineage: Bacteria
Description: bacterial SSU rRNA
Rfam family: Bacterial small subunit ribosomal RNA
Source: RNAcentral
GGCCGCGGGAAUUCGAUUCAGGCCUAACACAUGCAAGUCGAGCGGUAGAGAGAAGCUUGCUUCUCUUGAGAGCGGCGGACGGGUGAGUAAUGCCUAGGAAUCUGCCUGGUAGUGGGGGAUAACGUUCGGAAACGGACGCUAAUACCGCAUACGUCCUACGGGAGAAAGCAGGGGACCUUCGGGCCUUGCGCUAUCAGAUGAGCCUAGGUCGGAUUAGCUAGUUGGUGAGGUAAUGGCUCACCAAGGCUACGAUCCGUAACUGGUCUGAGAGGAUGAUCAGUCACACUGGAACUGAGACACGGUCCAGACUCCUACGGGAGGCAGCAGUGGGGAAUAUUGGACAAUGGGCGAAAGCCUGAUCCAGCAAGGCCGCGUGUGUGAAGAAGGUCUUCGGA